AUCCUUUUGUAGUUCACAGCAUGAUGACUGGGUUUUUACGUUCAUGUGUGAGAUGUGCCCCUUCAAACCUUUUUACGAUAUGUGGUGGAUUUUUAAGACA
Molecule: non-coding RNA, 100 nt
Organism: Macaca mulatta (Rhesus monkey)
Lineage: Eukaryota; Metazoa; Chordata; Mammalia; Primates; Cercopithecidae
Source: Rfam